RNAcentral lists this long non-coding RNA (241 nucleotides) under Brachypodium distachyon (stiff brome). RNAcentral's name for it is "long non-coding RNA (BDIS_LNC001906)". Lineage: Eukaryota; Viridiplantae; Streptophyta; Magnoliopsida; Poales; Poaceae. The record is from RNAcentral.
CCAAUGGCAUCCCCUAAACGGACAAAAUGUCAUGUUUGUCUAGAUACAUUCACCAAUCUUGCCCAAAUUUGAGAGAGGUUUGGAGGUGUCCGGACAUUGUCCGGUUCUCUCUUUUGUCUGCCCCGGGCCCACAACAAGAGAUGGGAAAAUGAGAAGAAAAAAAAUAAAAAGGAGAGGAGAAAGGAUAAAAAGAAUGAAAAACUAAUUUGGGAGAUAAAUGUGGGGGCUCUGGUUGGAUGAU